This is a small nucleolar RNA of Mesocricetus auratus (golden hamster), 73 nucleotides long. NCBI's taxonomy places the organism in Eukaryota, Metazoa, Chordata, Mammalia, Rodentia, Cricetidae. The record is from Ensembl.
AUUCAGAUGAUGCAUUAAAACUGUUCAACGGUUGAAUGAUACAGACAAGAACUAAAACUUAAUUCUGACAGAA